AGUAAAAUGCCUGAUAAAAGGAUUAUUUUGAUAUAAUAAGUAUGUAAGUUUAAAUUUACUUUUACUA
RNAcentral lists this transfer RNA (67 nucleotides) under Seladonia aeraria. RNAcentral describes it as "tRNA-Ile". Lineage: Eukaryota; Metazoa; Arthropoda; Insecta; Hymenoptera; Halictidae. The record is from RNAcentral.